RNAcentral lists this long non-coding RNA (12343 nucleotides) under Citrus maxima (pomelo). RNAcentral describes it as "long non-coding RNA (CMAX_LNC000818)". Lineage: Eukaryota; Viridiplantae; Streptophyta; Magnoliopsida; Sapindales; Rutaceae. The record is from RNAcentral.
GAUGUACUUUUGUUUUCGUUCAUCUGUUGUAAGUUACUGUUUUUCUUGUCUGAAUCCUCUUUCGCUUCCGACACCAUUACUUCAUCUCAGUCCCUCAGUGAUGGCAGGACCUUAGUUUCAAAAGAUGGAAGCUUUGAGCUUGGUUUCUUCAGUCCUGGUAGUUCCAAGAAUCGUUACGUGGGAAUUUGGUACAAAAAUAUGCCAGUUAAAACUGUUGUUUGGGUUGCAAACCGAAUCAACCCCAUUAAUGACUCUUCUGGGUUGUUAGUUGUAAACGAGACGGGCAAUCUUGUUUUAACAAGCCAGAACAAGAGUGUAGUUUGGUCAGCAAACUUGAGCAAAGAAGUCCGGACUCCAGUUGUAUUGCAGCUACUAGAUUCAGGAAAUCUUGUCCUAAGAGGUGAACGAGAUGGCGGUUCUGAAACUUAUUUAUGGCAAAGCUUUGAUUAUCCUUCUGAUACAUUGCUACCGGGAAUGAAGCUCGGAUGGGAUUUGAAGACUGGUCUUGAGCGGCGUAUAACAUCAUGGAAGAGCUCAGACGACCCGUCUCCUGGAAACUUUACUUGGGCAGUUGAACGACAAGAUAAUCCUGAGUUAAUGAUGUGGAAGGGAUCAAGAAAGUUUCAAAGGAGUGGCCCAUGGAAUGGCCUUAAAUUCAGUGCUACAUCAUUAAGGCCAAACCCCAUUUUUAACUUCAGCUUUGUCUCCAAUGAGGAUGAGCUGUACUUCACCAUCGACUUGAUAGAUAAAGCUGUUUUCACAAGGAUUGUUAUGAACCAAACACUCUAUUUACGUCAACGAUUCACAUGGGAUAAACCAACUCAAAGUUGGGAAUUGUAUGCAAAUGUGCCAAGAGAUCUAUGUGACACUUAUGCCCUUUGUGGUGCCUAUGGCAUUUGCAUCAUUAGCGAUAUGCCUGUUUGCCAAUGUUUAAAAGGUUUUAAACCAAAGUCAAAGGGAUAUGUGGACUGGUCUCAAGGGUGUGUGCGUGAUAAGUCGUUAAACUACUCUAGACAAGAUGGAUUCAUCAAAUUCACUGCGAUGAAAUUGCCAGAUGCUACUCCUUCUUGGGUGAGCAAAAGUAUGAAUCUCAAUGAAUGCCGGGAGAAAUGCUUAGACAACUCUUCUUGUAUGGCAUACACAAAUUCAGAUAUCAGAGGAGAAGGCAGUGGCUGUGCCAUGUGGUUUGGUGAUCUGAUUGACAUCAGAUACUUCCAAGAUGGUGGGCAGGACUUGUAUGUUCGAAUGUCUGCUUCAGAGCUAGGUAUCCGUAUACUUAUUUAUGUCAUUCCAUUAUGAGAACUUAGGAGUACCACUCCAGUUAGACUAGUUCCACAUUUUUAUUUUGCAAUUUAGUAUUGAGUUACGAUUGAGAAGCUCCUUUCGCAUAAAGCAGUUUCUGGGUAUAGCUUCUAUGCAUAGAAUUCUGCUGCUAUUUGAAUCAUUUGAUUAUUGACUCGCUCUGCUAUAUCAGAAUACGCUGAUCAAGGAGCGAAAGGUAAGCCUACGACAAAGAUAGUGGUGAUAGUCAUUUCUACAGCUGCUCUGUUAGCUGCGAUGCUUAUAGCUGGCUACUUGAUUCACAAAAGCAGGAGAAAUAUAGUAGGUAUAAUAGCACUCCAUUUUCCUUCACAAAUUUUCAUUGACGACUUGAUGCAGGCAAAUCAAACUCUUAUAAAUAUUAAAUUUAUAAGAGUAGAUUAAAUUUUUAUAUGCAGCAAUAACUGUAUAUUUGUUCGAGAUGAAGAGUUAACAGUGCAUAUCAUUUAGAUCAGGGGCAAGGUAAUUAAACUUGUAAAUUUUUGGCUGGAAUAGCAAGUUUACUUACUUGCAUUUAGUGUUAUAUUAAUACACGCCUCUUUUUCACCUAUGGUUCUCUAUUUACUUGCACUUUCAUAUUGACUGGAAAAUAGCUUUAAUACAAAUUUACAGAUAAAGAACCUUCUCAUCUAGAAGAUGAAAAUUGUAGUUACUAGUUAGUUGUUUAAUAUUGUCCAGUAUACGUACUGCAUAUGUGCUUUCAGUUAAUAUUAUCCAAUAUUUCAGAGAAAACAGAAAACAACAGGGAAACUGAUCAGGUUCAAAACAUGGACCUGGAGCUACCACUGUUUGAGUUAGCUACAAUUGCUAAUGCCACUGAUAACUUUUCAAUCAACAACAAGCUUGGAGAAGGUGGCUUUGGACCUGUUUACAAGGUAAACUUGAAACUUGCCAGUCAAAAAUAAUUAUUUUACCAGGUAACUAAAUUCACAUAUAUGUCUUGGCAGGGCACGCUAGUGGAUGGACAGGAAAUUGCUGUGAAGAGGCUUUCGAAGAUUUCUGAGCAAGGAUUGAAGGAGUUAAAGAAUGAAGUUAUACUAUUUUCCAAAUUACAGCACAGAAAUCUUGUAAAGCUUCUUGGCUGCUGCAUUCAGGGAGAGGAGAAAUUGUUGAUUUAUGAAUUCAUGCCGAACAAAAGCCUGAACUCUUUCAUUUUUGGUCUGGGUCCCUAUAACCUUAAAAUAUUCGGCUAGCUUGUGCCUUGAUUAUAGACGUUUCUUAUGUAUUUUCAGAUAAUUUUGUACUAACGUUAAAGUGGUAAUUUGUAGAUGAAGAAAGAUGUAAGAUAUUGGAUUGGUCCAAGCGUUUCCACAUUAUUUGUGGGACUGCUAGGGGUGUUAUGUACCUUCAUCAAGAUUCUAGAUUGAGGAUUAUACAUCGAGAUCUCAAAGCAAGUAAUGUGCUACUCGAUCAAGAUAUGAACCCAAAAAUUUCAGACUUUGGUUUGGCAAGAUCUUUUGGUGGAGACGAAACAGAAGGAAACACAAACAGAGUGAUUGGAACAUAGUAAGUACUUCUUGUCAUGUGAUCUUUAUGAUUCACUUGUACUGAUUAAUGAAAAUUAACUUAUAUAUUUUAAUCUUUUCAAGUGGUUAUAUGGCCCCGGAAUACGCUAGUGAUGGGCAAUUCUCAGUAAAAUCCGAUGUCUUCAGCUUUGGAAUUUUAUUGCUGGAGAUAAUAAGUGGAAAGAAAAAUAGAGGAUUUUAUCAUUCUGACAACAAGCUUAACCUUCUAGGACAUGUAAGUAAAAUGCAUAUGACAUUUUCUAACAUAGUUUGAACUAAUAAACUAUAGAUGAUAAAAGAGUUUUAAUAUGUUGUAGGCAUGGAAGUUGUGGAACGAAGGCAUGCCUUCACAAUUAAUCGAUCCGUGUAUUCAAGGCUCAUUCAAUCUUGCUGAAGUGAUACGAUGCAUCCACAUCGGUUUGUUAUGCGUGCAACAGCAUCCAAAGGACAGGCCAAGCAUGCCCUCAGUGAUUUUGAUGUUGGGCAGCGAGACAGUGUUGCCUCAGCCAAAGCAACCCGGUUACUUGGCGGACUGGAAAUCUAUCAGACAAGAUUAUUCAUCAAGCACGCUUGAAUCAUGUUCAACUAAUACAAUUACGAUCUCUGAGUUGGAGGGUCGGUAGAGAAUCUAUUUGUGGUAUCAUGCCUUAUUCUACAAUGUCAAGUGCAAAAGCGGUAAUAUCUCAACCAAAUGGAAAAUUAAGAUAAAUGAUUGGAUAAAAAAUGAUGAGGAUCAUCCAGUGAAUGCAUGUUGUGGAUCUAAAAGUUCAGAGGACAGGCCAAUUUUGCAGUUGACUACUUGGCUAAAAAUGCAGGCUCUAUACCUCUCGGAUUUCAUGUUAUCAAGAACUGUUACGGCAAUUUUCCUUUAAGGCUGAUUUGCCUUGAUUCUAGCUAGCUGUUUUUCCUUAUUUAGUUGUUUCCUUUAUUGGCUUAUUUCCUUGUUUUUUCUGUAUAAGGAGAACUCGAUUAAGGGGUUAUUUUUUUAUGCGAAAAACUUAAUAAAACUUCCGGAGCUUUGCUUCUCUUUUGGGUUCAAACUCUUUGAUCUUAAGAUUUGGUAUCAGAGCCAGGUUUUGGCACCAAUAUGGCUGACGGAACAAGAGCGCAAGAGCAAAAGCGUGUAGAUGAGUCUCUGAAGCAGUUGCGGGAGACCUUAGAAAAACACGGCCUUCUUUUAUCAGAUUUGUCUAAGAUGAUGGCUGCUAUAAGCCUGAAACUUGAUCAAUCCACAACAACGAAGACAGGGGAUUCCAACAAUGGAGGAAGUACCUCAACCAAUAGGGGAUCGAAUAAUAAUCAUAUUGGUAAGAAUUCCGUUCAAACUCGAUUUUCCAAACUGAAUUUUCCCAAAUUCGAGGGUGAAAAUCCUAAUGGAUGGAUUUACAAGUGUGACCGUUUUUUCAACAUCAAUGGAAUUGUUGAAGAGGAGAAAGUAGAGAUGGCGUCGAUUCAUCUGGAGGUACAUGCCCUCGAAUGGUUUCAGGGGUAUGAAGCUGGCCAUGAGAACAUCAAUUGAGAGAGUUUUUCUACAGAUAUCAUUGCUCGUUUUGGUCUUAGUGCUUAUGACAGUCCAGUUGGCUAGUUAACCAAGUUGAAGCAAACUACUGUAGUAAAAGCCUAUCAAGAACAAUUUGAGGCAUUGAUGGCUAGAACGAGGGGGCUGCCAGAGGAUUUCUUUGUUCAAUGUUUCAUUAGUGGCUUGAAGGAGGCUAUUAAGAACCAAGUCACCAUGUUUCAACCGAACUCAUUGACCCAAGCCAUUGGUUUAGCAUUGCUACAGGAAGGAGCUAUGGAAGCAAUUCUUAAGGAGGCCAAAGGGGUUAACAAAGUUGGGGUGAGUACAAUGAAUUCUUUUAUGCCAAAAAAGUCAGAUAAUAACCGAUUACCACCAGUGAAGUGGAUUUCGACAGCAGAGAUGCAAGUGAGGAGAGAAAAAAAGCUUUGUUAUUAUUGUGAUGAGAAGUAUGAGCCUAGUCAUGUUUGCAAACAGAAACAUAUUUAUCUAUUACAAGGUGAAGAUAGCGAAGGGAAAGAGCCAAAUGAAGCUGACAAAGUGGAAGGAAAAGAAGAAUCCCAAGUUUCCCUUCUUGCCGUUUCAGGGUCUAGCACUCAUCAAACUAUGAGAAUUGGCGGCAACAUAAAAAAGAAAGCUAUCACCAUACUUAUUGAUUCUGGAAGUACUCACAACUUCCUUGACCCUACAGUUGCAAAAAGAGCAGGCUGCAAAAUUCAACAUGUUAGUCCAAUGACGGUAUCAGUGGCAGAUGGAACCAAAAUAAUUAGUGAUGCUAUUUGUCGACAAUUGAAGUGGAAUAUGCAGGGAGAGGAAUUUCGAGCUGAUUUAAGGCUCUUACCAUUGGGAGGAUGUGAUAUGGUUCUCGGAAUACAGUGGCUUGUUGAAUUGGGGCCUGUAUUAUGGGACUUCAAGGAGUUAGUGAUGGAAUUUUCCGUUGGCGAUCGAAAUUUUGUACUGAAGGGGGAUACACCAGGCCCUACUAAAAUGGUUUCACCAAAGCACAUUCAGCGGGAACUUCAACAUUUGUCUCAAGCAUCAGCAGCUCACAUUUUUUCUAUCCAAGUGGAGGGUGAGGAAGCAGAAGAAGUAAACAGAGAACCAGAGGAUCUAGAACAAGUGUUGCAUCAUUAUAGGAAGGUUUUUGAUGAGCCGAAUGGUUUACCUCCCCAAAGGGAACAUGACCAUAAAAUUCCCCUUGAACCUGGAUCUAUGCCACCUAAUAUACGUCUAUAUAGGUAUCCUUACGUGCAGAAAAGUGAGAUUGAAAAGCUAGUACAAGAGAUGCUCGAGAAUGGCACCAUUCGGAAAAGUGUGAGUCCCUUCUCUUCUCCUGUGUUGUUGGUUAAGAAGAAAGACGGAACUUGGAGAAUGUGCAUUGACUAUAGAGCCCUUAAUAAAAUCACUAUAAAAGAUAAGUUUCCUAUUCCUGUCAUUGAUGAGUUGUUGGAUGAAUUAUAUGGAGCUACAUAUUUUUCUAAGCUUGAUCUCCGAUCCGGUUACCAUCAAAUUAGAGUACAUUCCUCUGAUAUCCAUAAGACUGCUUUUAGGACCCAUGAAGGGCACUAUGAAUUUUUAGUCAUGCCCUUUGGGCUGACUAAUGCACCAUCGACUUUUCAAAGCUUGAUGAAUGAGAUCUUUAAACCUUUUCUAAGGAAAUUUGUACUAGUAUUUUUUGAUGAUAUCUUAAUUUACAGUAGUGAUUGGAAGGAACACUUAGAGCACUUGGAAUUGGUGUUUGGUGUAUUGUCUCAGAACCAGUUAUUUGUUAAAAAGUCAAAAUGUGCUUUUGGUAAAAAGAAGAUUGAGUAUUUGGGGCAUGUAAUUUCAGAGGAAGGAGUUGCCACUGAUCCUACAAAAAUUCAAAACAUGUUGCAAUGGCCUAAGCCUAAUUCCCUCAAGUCUUUAAGGGGUUUUUUGGGGCUCACAGGUUACUAUCGGCGGUUCAUUAAAGAUUAAGGAAAAGUUAGUCAACCACUCACUGUUUUGUUGAAGAAAGAUAAUUUUCAGUGGACUCAAGCUGCAGAAGACGCCUUUGACCAGCUCAAACGCAUCAUGUGUGCGGCACCAGUACUGGCAAUGGCAGACUUCCAGAAAGAUUUUGUGAUUGAGUGCGAUGCAUCAGGAAAUGGGAUAGGAGCCGUAUUGUUGCAAGAGGGCAGACCCAUAGCUUACCUGAGCAAAGCUUUAGCUCCGAAGAAUAUGGGCCUUUCGACAUACGAAAAAGAAAUGUUGGCUGCUGUCAUGGCAGUACAAAAAUGGUGGCCAUAUGUGGUAGGAAAGCACUUUAAGAUAAUCACUGAUCAUCUCAGUCUAAAGUUCCUUAUAGAUUAACGAGUUUUAACUCUGAUGCAACAUAAAUGGCUUACCAAAUUAGCUGGUUAUGACUAUGAGAUCGUCUACCGUAGUGGCAAAAAGAACACAGCUGCAGAUGCCUUAUCAAGGGUACAGGAGGAAAGAGAAGAACCAAUUAUUAUGGCCUUGUCAUUUCCAAUAGCAAAUUGGUUGGGCGUGCUACAAGAUGAAUGGAAGAACGAUGAAAACAUACAAAAACUCAUCCAGGAGAUUCAGCGAGAUCAGAACCUACACUCUAAAUUUACCUGGGUAGAUAAUCAGUUGAGGUACAAAGGAAGGUUGUGGUUAGGAGAUCGAUCUGAAUUAAAGAAGACGAUAUUGCAAUAAGCUCAUGGUGGAGUAGAGGGUGGACAUUCGGGGGUGAAGAAAACAUUAGAAAGAGUACGGAGAGCUUUUUAUUGGAAGAAGAUGAGAAGAGAAGUGUGUAAAUUUGUAGCUGAGUGCGACACAUGCCAGAGAAAUAAGGCUGAAACUAUAGCGUCUCCGGGACUGUUACAGCCGUUACCAAUACCAGAACUGAUUUGGUCCGACAUUUCCAUGGAUUUUAUAGAAGGCCUUCCGAAAUCUCAUGGCAAGAAGGUUAUCAUGGUGGUGGUUGAUAGGUUGAGCAAAUAUGCUCACUUCCUGGCAUUAGCACAACCGUACACAGCAAAAGAUGUAGCUCAAGUGUUCUUAGAUAAUAUUUAUAAGCUUCAUGGCCUGCCAAAGACCAUAAUAAGCGAUCGAGAUCGAAUCUUCACUAGUCAUUUCUGGAGACAUCUCUUCACUCUACAAGGUACUCAAUUACUUAUGAGCACAUCUUAUCAUCCGCAGACCGAUGGUCAGACCGAAAUCGUUAAUAAGUGUUUGGAGCAAUACUUGAGGUGCAUGACUGGAGACAAGCCAAAGGAGUGGAGUAAAUGGUUGCCGCUUGCUGAGUGGUGGUAUAACACUUCAUUUCAUUUCUCUUUUAAGAUAACUUCAUUUGAGGUUGUCUAUGGCAGGGAGCCUCCUACUUAUACAACUUAUAUUCCUGGUGAGACAAUUGUAGCAUCUGUGGACCAAGCUUUAAGGGACAGAGACUCAAUGAUUCGCCUUCUCAAGGAGAACUUACAUCAAGCUCAAAGCAAAAUGAAAAAAAUGGCGGAUAAGCAUCGGACAGAGAGGGAAUUUGAGGUAGAUGAUUGGGUUUAUCUUCGGCUACAGCCUUUCAAACAAGCUUCUCUAGCUCUUCGGAAGGAUAGGAAGUUGGCUCCUAGGUUUUAUGGACCUUACAAGGUGCUUCAAAGGAUUGGGUAGGUGGCAUACAAGCUAGAACUUCCUUCACACUCCAAAAUCCAUCCAGUUUUUCAUGUCUCUUGCUUGAAGAAAAAACUGGGAGCUGCUAAUGUUCAGCAGACAGAGCUGCCUACAAUCCAAGAAGAUGGGAGGAUGCAGUUGGAGCCGCUAGCAUUGUUGGAGAAACGUACGGUUAAGAGAAACAACAGGCCUGUAGUUCAGUGGUUGAUUCAUUGGACUAAUUCCUUUCCUGAGGAUGCUACAUGGGAGGAUGCUUGCGUUAUUCGACAGAAAUUUCCAAAAUUUGAGCCUUGAGGACAAGGCUUCCUGAACAGAGGGGGAAAUGUUACGGCAAUUUUCCUUUAAGGCUGAUUUGCCUUGAUUCUAGCUAGCUGUUUUUCCUUAUUUAGUUGUUUCCUUUAUUGGCUUAUUUCCUUGUUUUUUCUGUAUAAGGAGAACUCGAUUGAGGGGUUAUUUUUUUAUGCGAAAAACUUAAUAAAACUUCCGGACCUUUGCUUCUCUUUUGGGUUCAAACUCUUUGAUCUUAAGAAGAACCUCCUGUAGGUCAUGAUCCUUGGCUUUGUUAUGAUAUGUAUGUGACAAUGAUUCCCCGCUCGGUUGUGUCUUAGCUUGGCUAAGCCUUUUUUAGGUUAAAAAAAAAAAAGAAUGUAGACUAAUGUUCAUAUAGAAAUUGUAAAUUAGAGGUACUGUGAGCAUUGUUGGGUCCAAAAAAUGAUUAACCGAGAAUUAAAUUAAAUAAAAGCAAGACGUUAUAAUUUUUUUGAUAUAAAAUAUUUACUAAUACAUUUAUGAGAAUAUCUUUGGUGCUUUUGGAGCAUUUUUAUCUAUUCACAAUUUAUCACUUGUGUAUAUAUGUCAUCAUGAUUAGUAAAAGCAUACACAUAACAAAAAGUAAAUGAAAAAGGAGAAGCUCUCCAAUAGUUCCGAAGAUUUUUCCUACAUUUUAAAAAUCAUGUGCAAUAUACUCAUUAUCAAUACUAUUAAGUACAUCCUUUUCUACAUAAACAACAAAAUUAAUAUUCAUCCAUUCAUCUCUCAUUCAAUUUCAGUGUUAAUUCUUCAUGAACUUUAUUGCUAAAAACGUUCUCUCUACUGUGGCUGUGGGAACCGGAAGAAUUAUAGCUAAGUGUCACCAACAAAUAUAUUAAUACUGUAAUGGAUACUCUUUAUCUUUUUUAGUCUCAAACUAUUCUUUUAGCAACUCAUUGACUCCCUUCAUUCCUACAAAUCCGCCUAAUUGUUCUUUCCUAAUUUAACCCAGGCCCUAAUUUUCUUUUCUUUUUAGAACAAGAAAGAUAAAAUUUGUGAUUGGAGGUGUAGCUAAUUAUUAUUUUUAGUAAAUUUGAAUCUAUUAUCAAAAAAAUUUUUGGGUUGUGGGUUAUUAUUAUUUUUAAAUAAAGCGUGAGUUUAAUAGUUCAAGUUAAAAUUUAAAUUUUGUAGGUUUAUGAAUGUAUAGAGGCUAUUUUAAUAGAUUGAUGAAGGUUAAUUAGAAACCCAAAUGAUUAUUUCUUUUAUUGUUUUUGUCUUUCACAUGCUAAAUCCUCCACUCCUAUCGAUAAGAAUUGGAAUGAUUUAUUUUUAUCCUAAUGAUCAUAAUAAAAAUCUUUUAAAGAUUUUACUAUUUUAUCAAAAUUAUUAUUUUAAAAUUAUAUUUACCCCAACUUUUUUUUUAACUAUAAUUUUUUUUUCACAACUACUGUAACUUUUAAUAUAACUUGGGUUAUCAAAAUUUUGAGCUUCAUUCAACUAACCAUAACUAUCAUGAACAAAGUCAACGUUGCUUAAGUCAAGAAAGACUUUAAUGGGAGGGAGAUAAUUAUUAUUAUCGACAUUACAAAUGGGGAGCUGGCUACGGUACAGAUUCUGUAACAUACAGACCAGGUUAGCCAGCCCCCCAAGGGUGCCAUUUGCUUGCUUUAUUUCCAAUGCGGGGACACGUGGAGUGUAUGGAGUGGGGGAUGUAUGUUACAGAAUCUGUAACAUAGACUUCUCCUACAAAUGGACCCCAAUUAUAUCUAAAGUCUUUGGGCUCGUGUCCCGUUUUCUUCUUCUUUUUCAAAAUAAUAAUGCUACACGUUUCAAAUUUUUUAUCCUAAAAAAUUAUUUUAAAUGAUAUGGCAUUUAUCAAUUGGUUGUAAGAUAAUACAAUUAAUUCACUUAGAUCAUGUAAAGAAUUAUCAACCACUCAAUUAAUGACACAUCAUUUAGGAUAACUUUUUAAGAUAAAAAAUUUAGGAUAUGUAGCAUUAUUGUUUUCAAAACCCUAUUCACUAAGCAUUAAUUCGGUUGGUUGGUUGAAUCCGGCGGUUGAUGAAUUCGGUUGGUUGAUGAAUCCGGCAGUUUCUGAUUUUCUUUUUUUAUUUUUAUGCGAGUGACCCCGCAACGAUAGCAUCGCAAUCUCAUGAAAAAAAAAAUUCCAAACGCAUGAAAAUUGGACACCCGUCAACAAAAAUCUUUUUGUUAUAGUAUUUACUGUACUUUCAAAAAUUUGAACAUGACAAAAAUUAAGUAAUCGACUUAUUAUAAUAAUCUAUGACCAAAAAUAUUGAACACAUAUUUUUUUUUUUUGUAAUUAUACACGCACAUCACUCUUUUACGAUUAAUUGACUAAACAUGUAUGAUAAACGAUUUGAUAAUGGAUUGUCUCAUAAUCUAAAUUUAUCAAAUAUCUUAAUGGUGAGACUAUUGGAAUUGAAUCCAUAAAGUUCUUUUAAAAUUUUCUUUACAACUUAUAAUAUACUUUUCAGAAAGUCUAUUGAGUACUAAUUCAGAAUUUAUUUCAAUAUAUAUUAAGAAAAAUUAUUUGGUUAAGAAAAAUUAGCCCCUUUGAAAAAUUGAGUUCGUGAGGCAUGAGCUCAUCAUUAGGCAACCCAUCAAAUUAUUCAAUAAAUAUAUUUGCCCCACACAUCCAUAAUUAAUUAAAAGGAUGGAAUUAUUUGAACUUAUGAAAUUUCUCAUAACAUCCAUUUAUUUAAUAUAUCCCCUAUCAAGAUCUUAAAAUUAAAUUUUAACUCUAUAAACCGCUUAAUACCCCACAAAUAACCGAUUUAUGGUGGGUGCAAUAAUUUAGAUAAUUAAAUUAUUUAUUGUUUUUGAUAAUUUUUAUUUAAGAUUAUUUUUGUAAUAUAAAUUUUUAUUUAAAAAUAAGUCUAAGGUGCAUUUUUAUGGGGCCCAAAUGACCUUAAAAUUGGAAGAAUUAAAUUUUACCAUAUAAAAGUAAAACCUCUUGUAAUUCCUAAAGUAUCCUUGAUUAGAUUUCUUUUUAAUUUUAAUAUUUUCUCUCUGCCAUAGAAGUUGCUAUGUCCUUUCUUGGUAAGAUGCUCUGUUCAGGCUUCAAUGUUGUUGGCUUGAAUUGGCAAUUGAACUCGAAUCAAUUCUCAUGCAUGGGUUGGGGAAUUUGCUCAACUUAUAAUUGGUUGGUUUAUGCCUCUGACCAAAAUCAUUUCGCCUCUCCAAGAAUCUACAAAAUUAAUUGGUAUUAUCAUGUCGGUGCUGCUUAUAAUUAGUAGUGCCCGCAUUGCUCUGAAUUCAGGCAUUGCUUGAGUAGAGUUGGGCUUGCUGAUUCAUUUUAGUGACACUUAAAAACACUUAAAAAAAAAAUCAGGACUUGUUUGUCGAAAUUUACAAAUAUUUUGUUCUUUGAUUAAUUUUUAUUAUAUCAAACAAUAGGACUGCAGUGUAGUUAAACCAGUUGCUUACACCUGGGCAACAUAGUUUUGUGUUCUUAUUUUUUUUUAUUGUUUGUGAGAUGGCAAGUGAUAUAUAUGUCUUUUUAAAAUUUUCAAUUAUUGGGGCAACGAACAUGGUAAAUAAUUUGCGGUGGAAAAGGUACCAAUAUUGACUCAAUAUGUCAAAUUUCUAGAAAAUUUUAGCAUCAAAUGCCUUUUUUCCAUUGUUGUGAGUAUAAGUCAAAUUUCUUGCAAAUUUUCUAUGGGUGUGACGAUUUUUUUUGGACUGCAAACGGCCCACCCUUCACCUAUUCAUAGAGAAUUUUACAAUAUUAAAUAGAAAAUUUUGAGUCCAGAAGCAAUCGCUUUCAGGUCAGUGCCUCCAAGAUGGAUUAUCAGUCAUGGUGUUUAAUUAUAUUUAUUUAAUUUGUUAGAGAGAGCUCUACGCCUAUAGAGUAUAAAAAAUGGAUGUACUUUCGUUUUCGUUCAUCUGUUGUAAGCUACUGUUUUUCUUGUCUGAAUCCUCUUUUGCUUCCGACACCAUUACUUCAUCUCAGUCCCUCAGCGAUGGCAGGACCUUAGUUUCAAAAGAUGGAAGCUUUGAGCUUGGUUUCUUCAGUCCUGGUAGUUCCAAGAAUCGUUACGUGGGAAUUUGGUACAAAAAUAUGCCAGUUAAAACUGUUGUUUGGGUUGCAAACCGA